Zalophus californianus (California sea lion) is the source of this 671-nucleotide long non-coding RNA. RefSeq lists it as uncharacterized. Lineage: Eukaryota; Metazoa; Chordata; Mammalia; Carnivora; Otariidae. The transcript has 2 exons. The record is from RefSeq and is a predicted model, not a curated record.
UCGCCGGCGGAGCCCGGAGCGCGCGCCCGCGGGGCCGCGCCUGGGAUGCCUCCGGUGCGGCGGCGAGAUGUCUGGGGGCUGCACCCUCUGCCCCCGCUGCGGCCGAGAGCAUCAGCCCCUCAUCGCCACGCGCGCCCCCAGGCUCCGGAGCCAAGCGAGCGGUAUCCUGGGGCCAGCGCCGGCCUUUCAGCCCUUCGCAGCCCCAGCCCCGAGGAGGGCAGACCCCUCUGGAGGGUGCAGCUGGGGCCCCUGAGCGCCAACACGUUGGGCCCCUUCGGGCAAGGCACGUCGCCUCCCAGAGUCUUGGUGUCCUCUGCUGCCAAGUGGAAGUGAUGACAGGGAGCCUGCGGGGUCGUGAGAGGUUUUCAAGGAGAUGGAGGGGAAAGGACCCAGACAGUACCAGACAGGAACUCUGGCUGCUUCUACUAUGAAUGAUCUCGACAAGUCACGGAACUUUGAGUCUCCUCACCUGUCAAAUGGGAUAGCAAUACCUAUUUCCUGGAGUUGUCAGGAUUAAAUGAGACGAUGCAAUGAAAGUGCCUCACAGAGCGUAGUACAUAGUAGGUCUAAACACAUAGGAACUUCUUUUUUUCCCCUUGGGGACCUUCUGAGCUGCUUGUGUCUGCUAAACAUACAGUAGGCACUCAAUAAAUACUCAGCAAUGAACUCAA